GACGAACGCUGGCGGCGUGCUUAACACAUGCAAGUCGAACGGAAAGGCCCUGCUUGCAGGGUACUCGAGUGGCGAACGGGUGAGUAACACGUGUGUGAUCUGCCCUGCACUUCGGGAUAAGCCUGGGAAACUGGGUCUAAUACCGGAUAGGAGCCAUUUUUAGUGUGAUGGUUGGAAAGUUUUUUCGGUGUAGGAUGAGCUCGCGGCCUAUCAGCUUGUUGGUGGGGUAAUGGCCUACCAAGGCGGCGACGGGUAGCCGGCCUGGGAGGGUGGACGGGCACAUUGGGACUGAGAUACGGCCCAGACUCCUACGGGAGGCAGCAGUGGGGAAUAUUGAACAAUGGGCGCAAGCCUGAUGCAGCGACGCCGCGGGGGGGAUGACGGCCUUCGGGUUGUAAACUCAUUUCGCUAGGGACGAAGCUUUUUGUGACGGUACCUAGAUAAGAAGCACCGGCUAACUACGUG
This 465-nucleotide ribosomal RNA is filed under the name uncultured bacterium. Its description in RNAcentral is "partial 16S ribosomal RNA". It matches the Rfam family "Bacterial small subunit ribosomal RNA", at positions 28 to 507 of the family's 1533-position model. The record is from RNAcentral.